AGUUUUCUUCCUCGGCACUGUCAUUAUCUUCUCUCUAACAGAGCAAAAGAAUGUGUUUAGCAACUCUUGAUGUGUCAAAAGUUAACAUUAAAAUUAUGUAGAACAACAACGUGAAUCAGCAAUUAACUUUUCUUUUGUCAAAAGAAAAAAGAAUCAACAUGUAACUGAACCUGGUUACAUGUUAAUGGCACAAAUGUUAGACCAUCAAGUCUCAGGUCAUCACUAGUCAAUCGCAUGUUCUGACUUUGUAGGUCACCAUUAUUCACAAUGGUGGCCCAUAAGACUGUACCGAGUAAAAUAAUCACAUGCAAAAACACUGGACAGUUAAGAAACUUAGACCCUUGUAUGGAACUUUGGAUAAAUGGAUGCCGGACGACUCUGCUGCUUCUGAUCGGUGCUCAUAGCCAUCGCCCUCAUAGUGCAACAAGGAAGUAAAAGAAUUCACGCAAUAGA
RNAcentral lists this long non-coding RNA (453 nucleotides) under Hordeum vulgare. Its description in RNAcentral is "long non-coding RNA (HVUL_LNC000280)". Lineage: Eukaryota; Viridiplantae; Streptophyta; Magnoliopsida; Poales; Poaceae. The record is from RNAcentral.